Molecule: transfer RNA, 68 nt
Filed under: Cladolidia robusta
Lineage: Eukaryota; Metazoa; Arthropoda; Insecta; Hemiptera; Cicadellidae
Description: tRNA-Leu
Source: RNAcentral
GCUAGAUUGACAGAGUUUAAUGUAUUAAUUUUAGAAUUUAAUUAUGUAAUAAAUAGUUACAUCUAGUA